Molecule: transfer RNA, 78 nt
Filed under: Bacillota bacterium
Lineage: Bacteria; Bacillati; Bacillota
Description: Firmicutes bacterium (anaerobic digester metagenome) tRNA-Pro
Rfam family: tRNA
About the family: Transfer RNA (tRNA) molecules are approximately 80 nucleotides in length. Their secondary structure includes four short double-helical elements and three loops (D, anti-codon, and T loops).
Source: RNAcentral
CGGGGCGUAGCGCAGUUUGGCUAGCGCGCCUGCCUUGGGAGCAGGAGGCCGGGGGUUCAAAUCCCUCCGCCCCGACCA